Molecule: ribosomal RNA, 467 nt
Filed under: uncultured bacterium
Lineage: Bacteria
Description: partial 16S ribosomal RNA
Rfam family: Bacterial small subunit ribosomal RNA
Source: RNAcentral
GAUGAACGCUGGCGGCGUGCUUAACACAUGCAAGUCGAACGAUGAUGCCCAGCUUGCUGGGUGGAUUAGUGGCGAACGGGUGAGUAACACGUGAGUAACCUGCCCUUGACUCUGGGAUAAGCCUGGGAAACUGGGUCUAAUACCGGAUACGACCAUCUGGCGCAUGUCAUGGUGGUGGAAAGCUUUUGUGGUUUUGGAUGGACUCGCGGCCUAUCAGCUUGUCGGUGGGGUAAUGGCCUACCAAGGCGACGACGGGUAGCCGGCCUGAGAGGGUGACCGGCCACACUGGGACUGAGACACGGCCCAGACUCCUACGGGAGGCAGCAGUGGGGAAUAUUGCACAAUGGGCGCAAGCCUGAUGCAGCGACGCCGCGUGAGGGAUGACGGCCUUCGGGUUGUAAACCUCUUUCAGUAGGGAAGAAGCGAAAGUGACGGUACCUGCAGAAGAAGCGCCGGCUAACUACGUG